GGUUUUAACCCAGUUAACUAAGGUUAGCAUGGAUUUCGACCAUUCGAAAGAAUGUGUUGAACACAAAUAAAUUUUGGACGAGCAUCUUCGGGGGUUAACCGUUGAAGCGAU
RNAcentral lists this small RNA (111 nucleotides) under Caenorhabditis remanei. RNAcentral's name for it is "SL2 RNA". It matches the Rfam family "SL2 RNA". Rfam says of the family: This family represents SL2 RNA. The record is from Rfam by way of RNAcentral. Lineage: Eukaryota; Metazoa; Nematoda; Chromadorea; Rhabditida; Rhabditidae.